UUAGAGUUUGAUCCUGGCUCAGGAUGAACGCUGGCGGCAUGCCUAAUACAUGCAAGUCGAACGAGAGGAAGGAAAGCUUGCUUUUCUGAAUCUAGUGGCGAACGGGUGAGUAACACGUAGGUAACCUGCCCAUGUGCCCGGGAUAACUUCUGGAAACGGAUGCUAAAACCGGAUAGGUAGCAGACAAGCAUUUGACUGCUAUUAAAGUGGCUAAGGCCAUGAACAUGGAUGGACUGCGGUGCAUUAGCUGGUUGGUGAGGUAACGGCCCACCAAGGCGACGAUGCAUAGCCGGCCUGAGAGGGCGGACGGCCACAUUGGGACUGAGACACGGCCCAACUCCUACGGGAGGCAGCAGUAGGGAAUUUUCGUCAAUGGGGGGAACCCUGAACGAGCAAUGCCGCGUGAGUGAAGAAGGUCUUCGGAUCGUAAAGCUCUGUUGUAAGAGAAAAACGACAUUCAUAGGGAAUGAUGAGUGAGUGAUGGUAUCUUACCAGAAAGUCACGGCUAACUACGUGCCAGCAGCCGCGGUAAUACGUAGGUGGCGAGCGUUAUCCGGAAUGAUUGGGCGUAAAGGGUGCGUAGGUGGCAGAACAAGUCUGGAGUAAAAGGUAUGGGCUCAACCCGUACUGGCUCUGGAAACUGUUCAGCUAGAGAACAGAAGAGGACGGCGGAACUCCAUGUGUAGCGGUAAAAUGCGUAGAUAUAUGGAAGAACACCGGUGGCGAAGGCGGCCGUCUGGUCUGUUGCUGACACUGAAGCACGAAAGCGUGGGGAGCAAAUAGGAUUAGAUACCCUAGUAGUCCACGCCGUAAACGAUGAGAACUAGGUGUUGGGGGAAUAACUCAGUGCCGCAGUU
Molecule: ribosomal RNA, 857 nt
Filed under: uncultured bacterium
Lineage: Bacteria
Description: bacterial SSU rRNA
Rfam family: Bacterial small subunit ribosomal RNA
Source: RNAcentral